UUUUACUCUUACGGGAGGCAGCAGUGGGGAAUAUUGCACAAUGGGCGCAAGCCUGAUGCAGCGACGCCGCGUGAGGGAUGACGGCCUUCGGGUUGUAAACCUCUUUCAGUAGGGAAGAAGCGAAAGUGACGGUACCUGCAGAAGAAGCGCCGGCUAACUACGUGCCAGCAGCCGCGGUAAUACGUAGGGCGCAAGCGUUAUCCGGAAUUAUUGGGCGUAAAGAGCUCGUAGGCGGUUUGUCGCGUCUGCCGUGAAAGUCCGGGGCUCAACUCCGGAUCUGCGGUGGGUACGGGCAGACUAGAGUGAUGUAGGGGAGACUGGAAUUCCUGGUGUAGCGGUGAAAUGCGCAGAUAUCAGGAGGAACACCGAUGGCGAAGGCAGGUCUCUGGGCAUUAACUGACGCUGAGGAGCGAAAGCAUGGGGAGCGAACAGGAUUAGAUACCCUGGUAGUCCAUGCCGUAAACGUUGGGCACUAGGUGUGGGGGACAUUCCACGUUUUCCGCGCCGUAGCUAACGCAUUAAGUGCCCCGCCUGGGGAGUACGGCCGCAAGGCUAAAACUCAAAGGAAUUGACGGGGGCCCGCACAAGCGGCGGAGCAUGCGGAUUAAUUCGAUGCAACGCGAAGAACCUUACCAAGGCUUGACAUGAACCGGUAAUACCUGGAGAGC
This 668-nucleotide ribosomal RNA is filed under the name Arthrobacter sp. RNAcentral's name for it is "bacterial SSU rRNA". It matches the Rfam family "Bacterial small subunit ribosomal RNA", at positions 331 to 1007 of the family's 1533-position model. Lineage: Bacteria; Bacillati; Actinomycetota; Actinomycetes; Micrococcales; Micrococcaceae. The record is from RNAcentral.